AUAAUAAUGGCUGACAGAUCGUCACUCUGGUUGGAGCGGCUCUUCUCUGAGGACACAAACACGGAGCUGAAAGUGUGAGCAGAGGAACAGGCUGCUGAGGACCAGCGGGACGAUGGUUUCCUGAACUGAAUCCUGAUUUCCUGUCAUCAGGUUUUGUGGGCCGACAUGUUGUCUGGUUGGUGCUCGGCCCGGGACAGGAAGGCUCUGCAGCAGGUGAUCCAUCCAUCCACAGAGCAUCAGUGACAGAGGACAGAAUCAUAAUUGAAGCCUCACUGAUGAAGCAAAAAGAUGUUUGAGAAGCUGGAGGCAGAACGUUCUUCAUCAACGAGUCGACUGACGGGUCAGUACAGAUGAAUGUUGUGUCUCAGAACUGAUCGGGGAUCAGCGC
Molecule: long non-coding RNA, 388 nt
Organism: Acanthopagrus latus (yellowfin seabream)
Lineage: Eukaryota; Metazoa; Chordata; Actinopteri; Spariformes; Sparidae
Exons: 3
Source: RefSeq, a predicted model, not a curated record